Sebastes umbrosus (honeycomb rockfish) is the source of this 1540-nucleotide RNA transcript. It is a transcript of the gene named intracellular hyaluronan-binding protein 4-like, with no coding region annotated. The record is from RefSeq and is a predicted model, not a curated record. Lineage: Eukaryota; Metazoa; Chordata; Actinopteri; Perciformes; Sebastidae. The transcript is spliced from 8 exons.
CAAACAGUUAAAGGUGUGCACAGACUGCCGUGCGUGUUUGUUGGCUGUUCACUGAGAGGCAGAGAACUAUAGCGUCCAGCUCUGUUCUGUUGGAGCUGAGCACUGAAACGAUCCUUUAGCUGCUGGGUAUCUGCACCAGAUCCACGUGUAGAUCCUGAGGAAGGAAUCAGCAUUGUAACUGUGUGUUCUUCUCAUCAUACUCAGGCCACAGGCCAACAUGCUGCUGGACGCCUUCGGCUGCACUGUAGCCAACAGGUACGGGGAUCUGCUGGAUGACGAUGCGGACCCGUUCGACUUGAUGAGCAAAGUGGAAAUGGAGAGGGAGAAAGAGAAAAAGAAAAGGAAGGAAGACAAGGAGAAGAAAAGCAAGCAGAAGAAAUCUGGUCAGAAGGAGUCCCAGAAGGACAGACGCGUCCCCUUCGGGUCGGAUGGUCCAGAGCCGUCUCCAGUCCGUCAGCAGCAGCAGCAACAGCAGGCCCGUCCUGGACCAGUGACUGAGAGGGGAUAUGGCCGAGAGGAAGCCCAGAGGGGCACAAAGAGGGCUGCCUUAGGGGAGCAUUGGGCCAACCAAGAGAAGUAUCCACAAGAGCUUUCCACCUCAAAGCCUUCCUAUGAUGGAGGCCCCGACCUCAGGGGCAGAGGGGGGAUCAGUGGUCGGAGAGGAGUAAGAGGUGGAGGAGGAUACUCAAGGAACUCUGACAACUUCAACCAGAGGGGCAAGAGAGGGUUUGAUCGACACAAUGGAACAGGUAUCUCUCCUGAGGAGAAAAGAGGAGGCAGAGGACCCUGGAACUGGGGCAGUGUUGAAGAAGCUGCAAGAAGUGAAUUAAUGGAGGUGACUACAGACGCUCCCAUCAAAUCUGAGGGGCCCCAAAUACCUGCGGAGGAAGAGAAUCCCAAUCGAGCAAUGGAAGAAGAGGAACGAGAGAUUGUGGUGCAGGUUGCCAUGGAGAUGAGUCUGGACGAGUGGAAGGCGAUGCAGGAGACGAGUCGUCCCAAGACUGAGUUUAAUAUCCGCAAAGCCGAGAACAAGAUUCCCUCCGAAGCUAAGGUCAUCCACCAGUCUAAGCACGUGGAGCAUUUACCUCCAUCUUCAGAAUGUGAAGGAGGGGACCCUGGAAGACGUGGAGGAUGAAGGCAACUUCCUCCGUAGGUCCAUGAAUGACAUCACCUCCCUUCUGGACAUCAAUUUCGGGAGUCUUGGGCGCCCCAGUCAUGGGGGUCGAGGAAGGGGGGCCCGAGGUGGCCCGGCUAGUCGCCCAGAGAGAGCCAAGCCCAUACUGGAGAAGGAGGAUGAACUGGCUCCCAACCCAGAUGACCCAGAAGACUUCCCAGCACUGUCAGCAGGAAGAUAACUGCAUUCACUUGUCAUUUACCUCCUGUGGGGAAUAUUGGUUGCACUUGACAAAAGAAAACACUUUUCAUGUUUCUGCUGUUCUUAAGGUUUGGGGUUUUAUUGUACUUGAAUUAUUUUGGUCUACUGCACAGAAAGCACUGUUCAGCAUUUGACUCCUGAAGAAUAAAUGCUUUUGCAAGUUUA